RNAcentral lists this long non-coding RNA (1378 nucleotides) under Zea mays. RNAcentral describes it as "drought responsive lncRNA". Lineage: Eukaryota; Viridiplantae; Streptophyta; Magnoliopsida; Poales; Poaceae. The record is from RNAcentral.
GCAAAAUAUUCUUGUAGACAUAGAAGAGACGAUCCUCCCACCAGCAAACAUUCAAAAAUGAGCCAUGCUGCAGAUAUGACUCAUGUAAUCACACCUAUAAUACUCAUUUCAACUAUGUGGUCAAUAGGGGUGGACUAAAAUUGGAGUGGUAAGGGUCAGCACACCAGCAAUAACAUGAACUUUCUGCUCCUCACUAUCAGCAAUGCAGUGACCUAUAUCCAUACAACCCAUGGUACCAAUGGACUAUGUCACUGCUCAGACUCACUUAUUAGAUAUAUGUGGGUGCAAGUGCAUACAAUACAGUUAUGGACCCUUGUAGGACCAACUCAUCUCAAAUUAACUAAUUAUUAGAUGAAUUUGGAUAUCUCAUAUCAUAGGACAAAGUUACUCAAGUAUAAAAUAGUAAAUCACUUUCAGAAAAGAUGUAAACCAACACAGACUUCUGAUUCUUGAUUGCAUGAAAAAGUUGCUCAUUUAAGAACAUUCUUGGUUGCCUAGCGUGGAGGCGCAGGAGGCAGAACAAGGGGUAGGCAGAACCAUGGUAGGCAACCUACCCCUUACCUUCUUCAUAUUAGUAGAGAUAAAAGUUUGAGUGGCAAGUACAAACCCAAAUGUUGAUAACAAUUUGUUAAUAUUAACAACUUCCUUCACCCGAAACCAUAUUUUUAUCUUCCAUUUCCAUAUUUCUCAUUUGGUAGCAGUUGAUGAUCUUUAUAGCAACCCUAUGUCAUGUAAGGUUAUGCUCUGCAAUCUUCACUUUUCCAAAUGUACCAAUACCUAAAUUUCUUCCUAGGCUGUAGUUCGUUAAUGCUUCAGAAUGUUCACCCCCUCUAGGGAAAAUGUAAACAAAUAUUCCAUCCAUCCUAAUUUAUAAUUUGUUUGAUUUUUUAAAUGAUGGCUUCAAAUGUGCAAUGUAAAUAAGGGUUCUCUAAGAUACAUGAUUUCCCCAAAAUUAAAACAACCAAUGUUCAACGAAUUUUCUGAGAUUGCAGCUAAUUUCAGUCGAAAAUUAGUCAUGUCUAAGUGUAUAGAGAUAUGGUAGAUUAAUAUAUAGUAUAAACCUGCACGUACUCAUUAGGAAAAAAAUGUAAAUACAUGUGUGAAAUUAUCUAACAAUUCUUCAAAUGGUAUUUGUCCACGGUAGGUAGGCUAGGUGUUCCCUUAGUUUUUGUGCAAAAUAUGGAGGAUGAAUCACUCGAUGACUAUUGAAGUAAAGAAUACAAAACAAUUGUGUUGUUUUAGUUUUUUUUUUGCUGAACCUUGUGAACUGCUAGUAAGAUAUUUAGUCAAAGCUUAUUUGCAUCCAUCGGAGAGCCAAUGCAAAUAGUAAAAAAAAUCAGCACCAAGUCCAGCUAAAAGAUGGGUAACACGUUAUCAG